RNAcentral lists this transfer RNA (76 nucleotides) under Deltaproteobacteria bacterium RBG_16_47_11. Its description in RNAcentral is "tRNA-Ala". It matches the Rfam family "tRNA". Rfam says of the family: Transfer RNA (tRNA) molecules are approximately 80 nucleotides in length. Their secondary structure includes four short double-helical elements and three loops (D, anti-codon, and T loops). RNAcentral also lists the same sequence under 6 other names. The record is from RNAcentral. Lineage: Bacteria; Deltaproteobacteria.
GGGGCAGUAGCUCAGCUGGGAGAGCGCCAGAAUCGCACUCUGGAGGCCGGCGGUUCGAUCCCGCUCUGCUCCACCA